This 548-nucleotide small RNA is filed under the name Pongo abelii (Sumatran orangutan). Its description in RNAcentral is "retained intron". The record is from RNAcentral. Lineage: Eukaryota; Metazoa; Chordata; Mammalia; Primates; Hominidae.
CCUCUCUCCCACAGAUGGCAGCUCAGAUCCGUGAAGUGGAGCAGAGCCGACAGGAGGUGGUUCGGUCUGUCUUAGAGGUUGGUUUCCCUCGGAGGAUCCAGACCACCUCAGACAGUGCCAGACCCAGAAGAGGGCUCUUCAGCACAUGGAAGCUGGAAAGGGAUAAACAGGUAAGACUGUUAGGGAAUCUCUUGUUGGGAAUUUGACAUCUUAGAACAUUCUGCAACCUUGUGGCCGGGAAAUGGAAACAGAUCUCAUCUUUGCCACUCUCGUGACUCAAGGACCUCAUCUGGCAGCCUGGCUCAUGUUUUUCAGCCAAGUAGCUUCCAGCUCACAGCAGCCCGCAAACUUGGACCUGCCACCAGCUCCAGAGCUUGACUGGAUGGAGACAGGACCAUCUCUGACAUUCAUUGGCCAUCAGGAUAUACCAGGAGUUGGUAACAUCCACUCAGGUGCCACACCUCCCUGGAUGAUCCAAGAUGAAUACACUGCUGGGAACCAAGAAAUAGGACCAUCCUAUGAAGAAUUUCUUAAAGAAAGUAAGUAAA